AAACGGGAGAGACCCGAAAGCUCGAAGGGGGAGAUUCAAUCCUGCCCGCGCGUCCGGAGCGCUAUUCUCCUCGGAUGGUCCCGUCCGCCGUCAGUUCCGCAAGGUUCGCGACGGUCCGUUUCGGGUCCACCGGGAUUUUGGUUCCGGCCGCGGCGGGAUGCACUUCUCCCCUUGUAGGACGUCGCGACCCGCUGGGUUUCUAUUUAUUAAGACCGGUCUAAGGCACUCGGGGUGGAGCCCGAGGGAAUCGCCGCGGAAACGCGGGCCAACGGUUCCCCGGACCCUCGGUCGCCCGGCCGGCGCCCGGCGGUAACAAUCUGCGGAGCAGGCCCGCUACUGUGCGUCCGGCCCGAUGUACAAGCUCUAUGGCGGAUCAGCUCGAGGUGCCGUGGCAACAAGCCACGUUCCCCGGCCCCCGUAGGCUGCUGGUUCUCGGAGUCCUCGGACGGUAGCCCGUCUCCCGUCAGCGGCGCUCACGCUUCGGGUGCUCUCCCGAC
This 497-nucleotide ribosomal RNA is filed under the name Pallidionicus pandanorum. RNAcentral's name for it is "eukaryotic LSU rRNA". The record is from RNAcentral. Lineage: Eukaryota; Metazoa; Arthropoda; Insecta; Blattodea; Blattidae.